This 245-nucleotide ribosomal RNA is filed under the name uncultured bacterium. Its description in RNAcentral is "partial 16S ribosomal RNA". It matches the Rfam family "Bacterial small subunit ribosomal RNA", at positions 86 to 334 of the family's 1533-position model. The record is from RNAcentral.
AGAUGGCGACCGGCGCACGGGUGAGUAACACUAUCCAACCUGCCGAUAACUCGGGGAUAGCCUUUCGAAAGAAAGAUUAAUACCCGAUGGUAUAAUCAGACCGCAUGGUCUUGUUAUUAAAGAAUUUCGGUUAUCGAUGGGAUGCGUUCCAUUAGGCAGUUGGUGAGGUAACGGCUCACCAAACCUUCGAUGGAUAGGGGUUCUGAGAGGAAGGUCCCCCACAUUGGAACUGAGACACGGUCCAA